Molecule: ribosomal RNA, 229 nt
Filed under: uncultured bacterium
Lineage: Bacteria
Description: partial 16S ribosomal RNA
Rfam family: Bacterial small subunit ribosomal RNA
Source: RNAcentral
UACGCAGGCGGAAAAUUAAGUCAGUGGUGAAAUCCUGCAGCUUAACUGUAGAACUGUCAUUGAUACUGGUUUUCUUGAAUAUAGUUGGGGUAGGCGGAAUGUGUAAUGUAGCGGUGAAAUGCUUAGAUAUUACACAGAACACCGAUUGCGAAGGCAGCUUACUAAGCUAUGAUUGACGCUGAGGUACGAAAGCGUGGGGAGCGAACAGAAUUAGAUACCCUGGUAGUCC